AGGAUGCCUUAGAAUCAACAUUGAAAGAUCCUCGAAUAAUGAGACAGAGCUCAGAGGAACAGAAAUUUACUAUGAAGAAGUUAACAAUCAUCACACAUCUGAUACUGGUGACACACAACAUGUUGUCUGGACUGCCUCAGAGUUUGCCGAUUCCUCUGAAAGUGAUGAAGAGUAUAAUGAUGUGGGAAGCAUUACAGUAUGAUUAAAUUAUGCUGUUGCAACUUUGUGGUGUUAUCUUUGCUUUUGCUAUUUUACAACUGUUGCUUUUUGUGGUCUAUUUUAGAAUGCCUCUUUAAGUGUCUGUUUUAAUCUGUUUGUAAUCUGUUUAUUGUCACUAUUGUAGAAUGUUUUU
Long non-coding RNA from Carassius carassius (crucian carp), 352 nucleotides. RefSeq lists it as uncharacterized. The transcript is spliced from 5 exons. The record is from RefSeq and is a predicted model, not a curated record. NCBI's taxonomy places the organism in Eukaryota, Metazoa, Chordata, Actinopteri, Cypriniformes, Cyprinidae.